AAAAGUGAACGCUGGCCCGGCGAGCGACGAAAGUGUUUGUUCCUUCCCCUCCGCCGCCCAUUUCAAACGAAACUGAAUUCCUUCCUUCCCCUUCGCCUCCGCCAUGGCGUCGGGCUCCUCUCACCACCAAAUCGACCAGUUCUUCCCGGCCACGAAGCGGAGGUCCUCGUCGCGCAAGGACGACGCGCCGCGACCCGGGCCGCAGCAUGGGAGCCCCGGCGGCGCCAAGGGGUCCCUGGAGGGGUACCUCGUCCGGUCGCCUUCCACCCGUGCCACGGUGGCGGCCUCGGCGGCCCUCGCGGGCUCGCCGAGGGGCGGGGACGCGGGCGCCAGGCGGAGCCUCACGGCCGCUAUGGACGUCGAUGUCGCCUCCUCCCCUCCGGCGCCGGCGGUUGAUGGGGCCGAUUUGGAGCUCAGGAGAUUCACGACGGACUUCCUUUCCCAUUGCUGCAGUGCUAUCCCACCUUUGAGGGAUGAUUCUGAGUAUCGUGAGCAGUUGGAGAAGAAGCAGAAGCGGAGUGCGAGUCAGUCGAUCUUGGUUCCUUGUGACAAUGCCUCUGCCAAGAAGCAGUGCAUUGCUCAUUGCAGUGGCUUGGAGGCUCUAAAGGAAUCAGAUGAUAGUGUGGCCUUCAAGAAGCAAUGCAUCAAUCACCAUGGUGGCUCGGAGGCUGUGGAGCAGGAAUCAGUUGAGGGGGUAAAGGUGAGUUGUGUGGGAUUUUCAGCAUUGCAAAGAUGUAGCUUUACCCCAAAUACUACACAGAAAAAAGUUGGGUUUUCUUUAGCCCCUGGGGACACCCCAAAAUCUGUAUCAAGGAAUUCCCUUACUUCACCUGGGGAAGAAUUCUGGAAUGCAGCAAUUGAAUUUGCUGAUGGAAUAUCUGCCCAGACAGACAAGGUCCGUGGAAAGCCUAAGUUUGAUGCAGCAGAGGAUAAGUUAUCUUGUGCAGUAGCACUAUGCUCUAAGACUCUUCCUAGAGCAGGAAAGGAUGAGCAUGACUGUCUUAAUACAGUAGGCAGCAAUGAUACACAUCAGAUGGAGAAGUUGUCAAACAAAGUUGAAUUUCUGGCAGCAAAGAGUCAGCAUGUAAACAGCUCUCCUUUGCCUGUGAAGCACCUGGACUUCUGUCAUGAGGAUGACAUCCAAGUUUCAGGUUUGAAAAAAUGUGAAGAAAAAGGCAGAAAUGAAGCUGAUAAUGUACAAACAAACCAUGUUGAAUUGAAAGAUGGUGGCCUUCAGAGAAAAGAAAAUAUAAGGAAGGGUUCAAUAGAUCUUGUAAAUGCAAUGAAGACAAGUGCUCUUGAUUUGCAUACGGAUUCUGCAGCCAUGUUCCGAUGUCAUGGUGUAUUCAAGUCAACAACCGAAGGGAAUGUUCACUCAACUCGAGAGGGUGACAAAGAUUCUCAUCAAAAUAAAUCACUUGCCGCAUAUUCAAAUGGUUGUCUGCCUAAGAAAGACACCAAAAGUAAAUUUGUUUCUCAAGAAGUGGAAGCUAGCACACCUACUAGCUCUGUUCCUCUGAAGGACCACUCAAAGCUAUCAAGUUGGCUCCCUCCAGAGCUUUGUGCUGUAUACAUGAAAAAAGGCAUUUCGGAGCUGUAUCCUUGGCAGGUUGAGUGCUUACUUGUGGAAGGUGUCUUGGAGAAAAGGAAUCUUGUGUAUUGUGCAUCCACGAGUGCUGGUAAAAGCUUUGUUGCUGAAGUUCUGAUGUUGAGGAGGAUACUGUCAAGUGGGAAUAUGGCAAUUCUUGUCCUUCCCUAUGUGUCGAUAUGUGCUGAAAAGGCUCAACAUCUUGAACAACUUCUUGAGCCACUGGGUAGGCAUGUCCGUAGCUUCUAUGGAAACCAGGGGGGAGGAUCGCUUCCUAAAGAUACAGCAGUUGCUGUGUGUACCAUAGAGAAGGCAAAUUCUUUGGUAAAUAAGUUGUUGGAGGAUGGCCGUCUCUCUGAACUUGGUGUAAUUGUAAUAGAUGAACUUCAUAUGGUUGGUGACCAACACAGAGGGUACCUUUUAGAGCUGAUGCUGACAAAGCUUCGAUAUGCUGCUGGUGAAGGGAAUUCAGAGUCAUCUAGUGGAGAAACUUCAGGCUCUAGCAGUGGGAAGAUGGCAACUCAUGGAUUGCAGAUAAUUGGUAUGAGUGCUACUAUGCCCAAUGUUGCUGCAGUAGCUGAUUGGCUUCAAGCUGCUCUUUACCAAACUGACUUUCGACCAGUUCCACUGGAGGAAUUUAUCAAAGUUGGUAAUCAAAUAUUUGAUAAAGACAUGAAUGUUGUUCGUGUCCUUCCAAAAGUAGCUGAUCUUGGUGGCAAGGAUCCAGAUCAUAUUGUUGAAAUGUGUAACGAGGUUGUUCUUCAGGGUCAUUCUGUGCUUUUGUUUUGCUCCAGCCGUAAGGGCUGUGAGUCAACUGCAAGACAUGUUGCCAAGUUCUUGAAAGUAAACUCUGUUGGACCAAGUGAUGUUAGUUCAGAAUUUUCAGAUGCUGCAUCAGCUAUUGAAGCCUUGAGGAGGUGCCCUUCUGGAUUGGAUCCUGUAUUGGAAGAAACCCUUCCUUUUGGCGUUGCAUAUCAUCAUGCUGGUCUUACGGUUGAGGAGAGGGAGAUUGUGGAGUCAUGUUACCGUAAAGGCCUCGUCCGUGUGCUGACUGCCACUUCAACUUUAGCUGCUGGUGUUAACUUGCCUGCUAGACGGGUUAUAUUUAGGCAACCUAAGAUAGGUCGUGAUUUUAUUGACGGGACUCGCUAUAGGCAGAUGGCUGGUCGUGCUGGUCGAACUGGAAUAGACACAAAAGGAGAAAGUAUACUUGUAUGCAGGCCUGAAGAGGUUAAGAGGAUUACAGGUAUUAUUAGAAGCAAUUGUCCUCCCUUGGAGUCCUGUCUCUCUGAAGAUAAAAAUGGAAUGACUCAUGCAAUUAUGGAGGUUGUUGCUGGUGGGAUUGUGCAAACUGCAAGUGAUAUUCAUCGAUAUGUGCGGUGCACGCUGCUUAACUCCACUAAACCUUUUGACGAUGUUGUGAAGUCAGCUCAGGACUCCCUUCGCUGGUUAUGCCAUAAAAGGUUUCUUGAAUGGAACAAUGAGACAAAAAUAUACUCCUCUACCCCCCUUGGUAGAGCGGCUUUCGGAAGUUCACUCAAUCCUGAGGAAUCACUGGUUGUGCUUGAUGAUCUUUCAAGGGCAAGAGAAGGCUUUGUUCUUGCAUCUGAUUUGCAUUUAGUUUACUUGGUCACACCCAUAAAUGUGGAUCUUGAACCUGAUUGGGAAUUAUAUUACGAGAGAUUCAUGCAACUUUCUUCUCUUGAGCAGUCAGUGGGCAAUCGGGUUGGAGUAAUUGAACCCUUCUUGAUGCACAUGGCUCAUGGGGCGGCAAUGCUUGUUCGUGGAAGGCCUCAGAGAAACACUGGUUUACGCAACAAGUCUCCCGCACAAGCUGGUGGAAGUUCACUUAUUAAUGAGCAGACACUCAGAGUGUCCAAACGCUUUUAUGUGGCUUUGAUGUUAUCAAGGCUUGCUCAGGAGAUUCCUGUUGCUGAUGUUUGUGAGGCAUUUAAGGUUGCCAGAGGUAUGGUUCAGGCGCUGCAGGAAAAUGCUGGCAGGUUUGCUUCAAUGGUUUCUGCAUUUUGUCAGAGACUUGGUUGGAAUGAUUUAGAAGGUCUUGUUGCAAAGUUCCAAAAUCGUGUCUCUUUUGGAGUUAGGGCAGAGAUUGCUGAACUUACAUCAAUUCCAUUUGUCAAGGGCUCACGUGCAAGGGCUUUAUAUAAGUCUGGUCUUCGUACUCCUGUUGCCAUUGCUGAAGCAUCUAUUCCUGAAAUUGCAAAAGCUCUUUUUGAAUCUUCUACUUGGUCUGGGCAAGAUGAUUCUGGUUUACGACGAAUACAAUUUGGUAUAGCCAAGAAGAUAAAAAAUGGAGCUCGCAAGAUUGUCCUUGAGGAGGCAGAAGCUGCCAGAGUAGCAGCAUUCUCAGCUUUCAAGUCACUUGGUGUAGAAGUUCCUCAGUUCACUGCACCUGCACUCCCAGCUAUUGAGGACUCCCCAACUCGAGAUAUGAUAGUUUCUCCUUGUGGAGAUCAAAUUAAGUGCAAUAAGCUAGCUUUCGGGACCGAUGCUGUAGAUGAUAAAAAUAAAUCAUCUGAUGAUGGUGCUUCAAGAACUACAUACAGUCUAAGAGAGGAACACCCUGAUUCUUCCAUUCAAAUGAAAGAGAAUCUAGGAAUAGCUAACAGUGCAAAAAUUACUGCACAGGAAGCAGCAUCACCUUCAUCAACAGGAAUUAUUGCUGGAUCGAGUAGUACGAAUGUGGCUGACAAAGGUCCUGUCAAUGCGUAUAACUUCCCAGGGGGAUUUGACUGUUUUCUUGAUCAAUGGUCUGCAGUUGGUGAAUUUUCCUUUGAUGUUCAUUUUAUCAAGAAAUCAAUGAAACCAUCUUCCACCCUUUUCGAAGUCUUUGGGUUGGCGAUCUGUUGGGAAAAUUCCCCCAUAUAUUACUGCAACUUCCCAAAAGAUCUAGUCACUACUGGUAUCAAUGAUUCAAGUGAAAUGUGGGGUCAUUUCCAGAGAAGAUGGAAAAAAAUAGCUGACAUUAUGCAACAUAAGAAUGUCAAGAAAAUGACAUGGAACUUGAAGAUCCAGAUUCAGGCACUUAAAUCAGCUUAUAUCUCUUGCCAGCAGCUUGCAAGGUUUCAUCUUGACCAUAAAUUGCUGGACAAUAUUGAAGUACUUGACAACUCAUAUGUGUUGCUAUCACCAAUCUCUGUUUAUAAUGGAUUGGAUUUAUGCCUGGUGGCAUGGGUUCUUUGGCCUGAUGAAGAAAGCAGAACAGUGCCAAAUCUUGAGAAGUUAGUCAAGAGACGACUUCAUAGUGAAGCUGCUGCUGCUGCAAAUCGGGAUGGAAGAUGGAGAAAUCAGAUGCACAAAGCAGCACACAAUGGCUGCUGCAGACGUGCUGCACAGACUCGGGCUUUGUAUACUGUCCUGAAGAAAUUACUUGUUUCUCAAAAUCUCAAUGAUUUGGUUGACACAAUCGAGGGUCCAUUGGUAAAUGUUCUUGCUGAUAUGGAACUUUGGGGAAUUGGUGCUGACAUGGAUGCUUGUCUCCAUGCGAGGCAUAUUAUAAUAAAAAAGCUAAAGGAACUAGAGAAAGAAGCUUACAGACUAGCUGGCCAGAGUUUCUCACUAAAUGCAACUGCUGAUAUUGCAGACAUUCUAUACACACACUUAAAAUUGCCAGUUCCAAAAGGUUGUGAGAGAGGGAAGCUGCAUCCUAGCACUGACAAGCAGUCUCUAGACCAUCUAAGGGACCUACACCCGAUUGUCCCAGUAAUUAAGGAGCACAGAACAUUGGCCAAACUGUUGAAUGGCACAUUGGGGUCCAUUUGUUCACGUGCUCAAUUGUGCACUCAAUCACAAAGGUACAUCAUCCAUGGAAAUUGGCUUCAGACAUCAACUGCCACUGGCCGCUUAUCUAUGGAGGAGCCAAAUCUGCAGUGUGUUGAGCACUUGGUGGAAUUCAAUACAGGGAAAAGUGAUAAAGAUUACUCAAUUGUGUCAGUGGUUGAUCGUCAUCAAAUCAAUGCCCGUGAAUUUUUCAUUCCCACACAGGAGAACUGGUUGUUGGUAACUGCUGAUUACUCACAGAUUGAGCUGCGUUUAAUGGCUCACUUUUCUAAAGAUCUUAUGUUGAUUGAGCUUCUAAGUAAACCUGAUGGUGAUGUUUUUACUAUGAUCGCUUCAAGAUGGGUUGGCAAAGAAGAGGCCUUGAUCUCUUCCAAAGAGAGAGAGACCACUAAAAGAUUCAUAUACGGCAUCCUUUAUGGAAUGGGUGCAAACUCCCUUGCAGAACAACUUGAGUGCAGCACAGAGGAAGCUGCACAGAAAAUUCAAAGCUUUAAGAGAUUUUUUCCUGGUGUUUCCUCAUGGCUACAUGAAGCUGUAGCAUCUUGCCGCCAAAAAGGAUAUGUGGAGACCUUGAUGGGCCGGCGACGUUUUCUUACAAAAAUAAUGGCUGGCAAUAGCAAAGAGAAAGCUAAAGCACAGAGACAAGCAGUAAAUUCUAUUUGCCAGGGUUCUGCUGCUGAUAUAAUCAAGGCGGCUAUGAUUAGAGUUCAUUCGGUAAUUACCAACAGGACUGGGGAAGUUGAUUCAACUGAUGAAGUUACGAGGAACUUUUCAGAAAUAGGUGGCAAGUGUCACCUUAUUUUGCAGGUGCAUGAUGAGUUGGUAUUGGAAGUUGAUCCAUGUAUGGUACAACAGGCUGGAAGGCUGUUACAGAUAUGUAUGGAGGAAGCGGCUUCACUCUUGGUACCUUUGCGUGCAAAAAUAAAGGUGGGAAAAACUUGGGGUUCUCUAGAACCCUUCUAUCCUGAGCCUCGUUGAUACAAUAUCGUAACUUGGACUUAAGCUCCAUGGAAGUCAGUUUUUCAUGACAUGCAAAUUCAAGGGGCAAGAUGAAAGAUUCUGAGCAAGUUCCAACAUGCCCCUCUGAGGCCAUGAAAAUUCACCUCCUGCACUACCAAUCUCAUGGAGCCUGCCUUUUAACGUUGUGGCAUCUUGUUCUGCAUUAUCCAUGCAUUCAACAAAAGCAUGGCUGUUGCUGUGGUCCGUCUGUGCCUUCGGCUUUGAACUUGCCAUUGCAUGAUUGGACCAAGUCACUGAACUGUAUAUUGGUGAUCCUUUCUGACGUUCCAGCAGUUGAGUUGAGCCAUUUCUAUUGCUAUGGUUGCGCUCAGAUGAUCCUUUCUGGCGUUCCAGCAGUUGAGUUGAACCAUUUCUAUUGCUAUUGUUGGGCUCUCUCUCCUAUCAUCACUGAUUGGAUGUGAAAUCAAGUGUACAGUGACCAGCUCAAUGAUGAGGAUAAAGCAUGAAAGACCAGUGAUAAUGAUUGACGUUACGUGUUGCAUGCCUGCCAUUACUGGGUUUUCAUAUAUCAUCUGUAGAUGCUGUCCAAGGGACAUGCUGCCAUGCUGGCAUCAAAUGGGCAUGCAUCCCUUCAAGGUUCGUCGAUUUUGUAUAGGAAUUACUGGAAGAGAAGGGCAAAUUUCUCUGAAGUGUACAUUUUUUCUUCUGAGGUUAUCCACAUUGUAUAUAAUUGCAAAUUUUGUAAAGUUUUUGGUUAGCAAGCAUGCAUGCAAGAGGAUGUUUGCUUCCUUGUAAAUUUUGAGUGCUAUCAUGUUAGGAUUUCGAAAACUGGGCAGGUCCUGAAACCAGGACCAGCCGACCAUUUCGGCCAGUUUCCUUUGUAUUUCUUAUUGGAUUUAGUUUGAAUCUGUAAAUUUUCAUAAUUUGUUCAGCGAAGUAUGGUUUGGAUGUUCUGAUGCA
RNA transcript from Panicum virgatum (switchgrass), 7306 nucleotides. It is a transcript of the gene named helicase and polymerase-containing protein TEBICHI-like, with no coding region annotated. The transcript is spliced from 29 exons. The record is from RefSeq and is a predicted model, not a curated record. Lineage: Eukaryota; Viridiplantae; Streptophyta; Magnoliopsida; Poales; Poaceae.